CCAGACUCCUACGGGAGGCAGCAGUGGGGAAUAUUGCACAAUGGGGGAAACCCUGAUGCAGCGACGCCGCGUGAGCGAUGAAGUAUUUCGGUAUGUAAAGCUCUAUCGGCAGGGAAGAAAAAAAUGACAGUACCUGACUAAGAAGCCCCGGCUAACUACGUGCCAGCAGCCGCGGUAAUACGUAGGGGGCAAGCGUUAUCCGGAUUUACUGGGUGUAAAGGGAGCGUAGACGGCGGUGCAAGCCAGAUGUGAAAGCCCGGGGCUCAACUCCGGGACUGCAUUUGGAACUGUGCUGCUAGAGUGUCGGAGAGGCAGGCGGAAUUCCUAGUGUAGCGGUGAAAUGCGUAGAUAUUAGGAGGAACACCAGUGGCGAAGGCGGCCUGCUGGACGAUGACUGACGUUGAGGCUCGAAAGCGUGGGGAGCAAACAGGAUUAGAUACCCUUGUA
RNAcentral lists this ribosomal RNA (447 nucleotides) under uncultured bacterium. RNAcentral describes it as "bacterial SSU rRNA". It matches the Rfam family "Bacterial small subunit ribosomal RNA", at positions 331 to 792 of the family's 1533-position model. The record is from RNAcentral.